Molecule: ribosomal RNA, 404 nt
Filed under: uncultured bacterium
Lineage: Bacteria
Description: bacterial SSU rRNA
Rfam family: Bacterial small subunit ribosomal RNA
Source: RNAcentral
UUUUGGACAAUGGGCGCAAGCCUGGUCCAGCAAUGCCGCGUGCAGGAAGAAGGCCUUCGGGUUGUAAACUGCUUUUGUACGGAACGAAACGGUCCUGGUUAAUACCUGGGGCUAAUGACGGUACCGUAAGAAUAAGCACCGGCUAACUACGUGCCAGCAGCCGCGGUAAUACGUAGGGUGCAAGCGUUAAUCGGAAUUACUGGGCGUAAAGCGUGCGCAGGCGGUUUUGUAAGACAGGCGUGAAAUCCCCGGGCUUAACCUGGGAAUGGCGCUUGUGACUGCAAAGCUGGAGUGCGGCAGAGGGGGAUGGAAUUCCGCGUGUAGCAGUGAAAUGCGUAGAUAUGCGGAGGAACACCGAUGGCGAAGGCAAUCCCCUGGGCCUGCACUGACGCUCAUGCACGAAG